GCCUACGGGACGCAGCAGUGGGGAAUAUUGCACAAUGGGCGAAAGCCUGAUGCAGCAACGCCGCGUGAAGGAAGAAGGCCUUUGGGUCGUAAACUUCUGUCCUUGGGGAAGAAGAACUGACGGUACCCAAGGAGGAAGCCCCGGCUAACUACGUGCCAGCAGCCGCGGUAAUACGUAGGGGGCAAGCGUUAUCCGGAUUUACUGGGUGUAAAGGGAGCGUAGACGGCUGUACAAGUCUGAAGUGAAAACCCGUGGCUCAACCGCGGAACUGCUUUGGAAACUGUAAGGCUGGAGUACUGGAGAGG
RNAcentral lists this ribosomal RNA (305 nucleotides) under uncultured bacterium. Its description in RNAcentral is "bacterial SSU rRNA". It matches the Rfam family "Bacterial small subunit ribosomal RNA", at positions 337 to 657 of the family's 1533-position model. The record is from RNAcentral.